CUCAUAGGUGCCAAUGCCCCUUUUCCUUCAUUGGCAUGGACUGAGUCCACAUGGAACUCUAUAUAUGUAGAGAGGUGGCCCAGAAGGAAACGUGCCUUGCCUCUUUCUUACCUCCUAUAUGCCGAUUACUUCUAGAUCUCAGGGAGAAGAGGGCUGGGCACCUUCUUAUAUAUGAAAAGAAAAAGAGGCACCCAGCCUAGUCCAAUAC
Molecule: long non-coding RNA, 208 nt
Filed under: Elaeis guineensis (African oil palm)
Lineage: Eukaryota; Viridiplantae; Streptophyta; Magnoliopsida; Arecales; Arecaceae
Description: long non-coding RNA (EGUI_LNC012165)
Source: RNAcentral